UAGUAGUCCCCUUGGCCGCCGUCCGUACAGCAGUUCAAAGGGGGAGAACCCUGUCGAGGCCUGGGGUACCUCUCUCACCGCGAAGAGGACGUGAGGGAGGAGCUGGUCCCAGUUCUUUCCGUCUUUCUCCAUGCAUCUUCAGCAUGUGCUUUAAGGUUUUGUUGAACCUUUCCACCAGCCCGUCCGUCUGGGGGUGGUACACUGAAGUCCUCAGCUGCUUCACCUGCAGGAGACUGAGAAGCUCUUUUAGCACACGCGACCAGUUUAAAGGUAGCUUAAGGGGUAGGGGGAGGGCUAACAUCCCCUCAAAAUUGAGAUUUUCGAUGGGCACCCUCAAAGCGCUUCAGUUGUGACGUGCUCCCACAAUACCUUGCGAGAAAACGGAAAAUCAAGAAAUAUCCUAGACAAGAUGGAGGGCGAAAAGAUGAGACAGGAUUGGAAAAACACAAAUGACUUCGUUGAGUCCACUGCCACCAGUCCCCCCACCUCUCCCUCAUGCUCCUCCACCCCAGGCACCUCUUCCACCACCCCAGGCACCUCUUCCAAGAGGAGAGUGCCAGGGGGCAGGCGAGGCAUGAGGAGAGCGAGGCAAAGUUGGCGGAAUGGUGGAGAAGAUGUGAUUCUCCACCAUUCUCUCAAAAGCUGAGAGAGAGUGUGUGUGUGUAUUUUUAGGUGUGCGUGUGUGUGUAUUUUUAGAUGCGUGUGUGUGUAUUUUUAGAUGUGUGGUUCAGUGUUUCUUAUUUAAAUAAAGUGUUUCUUCUAAA
Long non-coding RNA from Gadus macrocephalus (Pacific cod), 764 nucleotides. RefSeq lists it as uncharacterized. The record is from RefSeq and is a predicted model, not a curated record. Lineage: Eukaryota; Metazoa; Chordata; Actinopteri; Gadiformes; Gadidae. The transcript is spliced from 2 exons.